AAAUUCAACACAGCCAAACCAAUCUAAAACCGCUCGAUCGCCAAUCUCAAGACCCGCAAAUGGGAAAAAAAAAAUAAAAAAAUAGAAAUAAAAAAGAACCCAUACCGAACCCAAACCAGUGUCUAAUUUGGAAGGUUCAAUUCAACUGAAAGGAAAGGAAAAUUGAAAAAAAAGAAAAAAAAAUUAGGGCUCAUUACUACAAGCAAGACAACACAAAGCCAAGUACUUGGUACUGUCACUUCAACACACUCCCGAGUCUUGCCUUGCCAUCCUCUUUGGUUUUUUCCUCUCUCUCUGAAGCAGAUAGGAACUUCCGAAUUAUAUCCCAUUUUGCUAUAAGUUGCAUUGUCCUGCAGGAGAGUCUGGCUUGGAUCUUUAUACUGCAGCAGAGUCUGGCUUGAAUCUCUUACUAUAUCUGCUUUCUGAUAGGAGAGCCAAUAAGGACAUGUCUUCUGAUACUGCAAAAGAAAAUGCAUCCGUAGUUGAUUCAUCAGCGACUGAAUGGAAAAAUGAUGUGGGAAAUUCAGAUGAUCCAGAGAAUGAGGAUGGCUAUCCCUUUAGGGCACAAGAACCACAGCAUUCCCACAUGGUGGACAAAAGGGGCAGAUUGUAUAAUACAAGAUAUUUCAUCAUUAAGAGUUUGAAUCACCAAAAUAUUCAAUUAUCGAUUGACAAAGGAAUUUGGGCGACUCAACUGAUGAAUGAACCAAUUCUGGAAGAAGCUUUUCAUAAUUCUGGUAUAGUUAUUUUAGUAUUUAGUGUCAACAUGAGUGGUUUCUUCCAAGGGUAUGCCCAAAUGAUGUCUUCUGUUGGAUGGAGGCGAGAUAACGUUUGGAGCAAAGGAAGUGGUAAAGGUAAUCCUUGGGGCCGGAGUUUUAAGGUCAAAUGGCUUUGCUUAAAUCGCUUGCCUUUCCAAAAGACUCUACACCUUAAGAACCCAUUGAAUGACUACAAACCUGUCAAAAUCAGCAGAGACUGCCAGGAAUUACCUCAAGAUAUAGGGGAAGCUCUAUGUGAGCUCCUUGAUGGGAGUAAUGAUGUGGAUGGCUCACUUAAAAGGGAUGAGCUACCUUCAAAGAGGCCUUGCAUAGAACCACCAUAUUCUUUAGGAGAUGAAGAUUAUAAUGUGCCUCCACUGCAUAUGUCUUGGGCUGGUACACCCAUGCCUUAUCAUCCCUUCCUCUAUCGACAUCAAGCUGACGUGAGUAGAUUUCAUUUAACACAUCCGCAUACUUUGGCUACUGAAUACUUUCCUACCACCACGGGAGCAUCAAAAGUUGCAAAAAGUCCUCAUGCUAGUACCUUGACCGAAGAUGAUUUUCUUGAAAUGCGGAUACUUUCCUUGUGGUCAUAUAAAUGUGACUCAUCAGAGAAGCUAGAUUUAUCAGGUUAGUAUUUCGACUAAGAGCCCCUAAGGCCUAAACCAUAACUUCUAACUUCUCUUUGUGAACUAGGAAGAAUUCACCAUAAUGAAUCCCGCAAUGUUUUUAAUGUGCUCCAUGUGCUGUUUAUCCUUAAUUAACUGUAGAGACAAAGAAUACCACACUUUAUUCAAAUCUUGCUGCUGCAUGAUCAGUCUGUAGACAAAGCUCUGUGCUUUCUGCUGUUUUACCACCAAAACAAAUAAUAGGAACAUCCUUCUCUCUCAGAAUUGUCCUUCUGGCUUAUGUCUGAAUCGUUCUUCUUGUUAAUGUUUUACUUCUGAUUUUUGUUGUAGACGUAUGAAGAAUACCUUGAAGCCCAUGGCCGAACCAGCAAACAAUUAUGCCGUUCUGUGACUGCACCAUCUCGGACAAUGCAGGAGUCAACAAGUAGAAAGCAUGCUGAUGAUUCAAGCUCAAGUUUGGUAACAGACCGGCACCACUGUCGCAAGAGGACACAUAACUCAUCCUAGAUUGUUUCCAGCUCCAGCGCUGAGAGAUGCAUGGUUUUUUCUCUUGCUCACUUUCCUCUGGUGGAGCUCCAAUUCACUGAGUGUGGUCAUUGAGUGAAGUAAAUUUGUUCUA
Molecule: non-coding RNA, 2006 nt
Organism: Theobroma cacao (cacao)
Lineage: Eukaryota; Viridiplantae; Streptophyta; Magnoliopsida; Malvales; Malvaceae
Source: RefSeq, a predicted model, not a curated record